Molecule: long non-coding RNA, 6427 nt
Organism: Lycium barbarum (goji berry)
Lineage: Eukaryota; Viridiplantae; Streptophyta; Magnoliopsida; Solanales; Solanaceae
Exons: 2
Source: RefSeq, a predicted model, not a curated record
UCCUCGGGAAAGACAUCACCAUAACCUUGCAAAGGAGAAGAAACAACACUAGGUAAAGAGUUAGUUUGUUCACUGUUGACACCUAAUUUUGGCUCGACGUGCUUAAAAUUAACGUUUUGGGGGGCCCUGAUCCAUUAAAGAGCACGAAAUACAAUUUUUUACAUAUUUUACAUUUUUUUGACAAUUUAUUGAUGAUUAUCCUUAUUUUGGGAAUUUUAUCAAUUUAUUGUCAUUUUUUCCAAGAAUCAUUAUUUUACACAUGUAUAGCGUAAUACUAUCAUUUUUUUUGUUUUUUUUUUUGUUUUUUGUGCAAUUAAUAAUUGUUUCUUAAUUUUAUAGCUAUAGCUUUUCAUAUCUUACACAUGAAUAUUUAUAUUUUAUACUUACAUUAUUAUUUAUACAUGUAUUAAUUAACUAUAUUUUAGUACAGCUCGACGGUGCAGAGAAAAGCGGAGCAACUAAUUUUUUUUUAAAAACGCAGAGCAAAAUUCGAUCAAGUCAAGGUCUCGUCAUCUUUUAAAAAAGUUGACGUUUGAAGUGAUGAGUUGGGUUCUUGAUCCAUUGACUAAUAAACUUUAUACAUUGGUUAGAAGGGUGAAAUCCCCAUUGGACAAUAACCCAAGGAUUAAAAUAAGCAUUGAGGGGACAAAGGGGAGUUCUUUUAUUUUUUAUUUUUUUUUGACAAAACGGGGUGUUCAUUGAUAUUAUAAGAAAAGGCGGGGGUUAAAUUUUAUUUUUUUCAUCUUUCAUCUUCUUCCUCAAAACCCUAGCCGCAUUCACUUAACAAACCAAUUCAUUCUCCCAAACAUUUUUUUUUCACUCCAAAGUCGACCACCACCCUCACCGCCCCUCGACGCCGGAGCUCCAAGCUCCGGCGAACGUCUCCACCAGCCCACUACGCCCUCCGUUCUCCCAGCCAGCAACCCACAGCAACCAACUACACCACCAUCUUCCUCCCAUCUCACACGCUCUGUUUUCCCCCCCUAAAACCCAACUAAACCCAACUAAACCCAACCGACAUUCUUGAUUUCGGCCAGCUAACAUUCAACAUCGUACAUAACACAAUAAAACAUAGUCCUUUUUCAUAGAAGAAUCUGAGAUUGCUUUGGCUAGUCUCAAAAGAAGAAGUGACGUUCCCUUGCCAAAGCCUGUUCCUUGCCUGAAUCAGUCAUUUCUCAAGGCCUCCGCUGCCCAAGCAUCAGAGGAGAUACUUGAAGACAACCUCCUGGAAAGUUUUAAGAACUUAUUCAUGGCCGAUGAAGAAAUUUCCGUCGAUUUCCAAGGCCUUUCAUGUACAAAGACGGGUUUUUUUUUAUUUUAAGUUUAUUCAUUACUUUUUUUAAUUCAUCCGAUAAUUAUUUAUUCUCUUACUAACAUUUUUAUUAAGUCUCAUGCAGGCAUCCGGAGUUACUUUUGAAGAUGACACUCAAAAGAAGUUCAAAUAGCUUUUUAAACUCUUUGUUUAUAUAUAUAUUUUUUACCUUCUUAAAUUAUGCAAGCAUAAGAUAUAGUGAAACUUUACUUUUUAGGGUGCAGGUUGGCGGUAUUUAUUUAUGAUCUGCUUAUGUGAUUUAAAUUUUAUGUGUUUUAGACAAAUUAACAUUAGACAAUUAUUAUUUUUCGUAGCUAAUAUUCUUAUAGUUAUCACGUUUCGCUAGAGUUUUAAUUUAGUAGCUUAGCAUACUUAAGUGAAUAAAUAGGGUGAUUUGCCUCAAUAUUUAGGUUUUAGAAUAUACUUUCAUAAUUAAUUGAUUAGGUGUACAUACUUAACUAGUUAAAUUAGUUAACUCACUUCGAGUGCAAAAAUAAUUUCAUGUCCAUUUUUAUACCUUUGUCACAUACCCAAGCUUCUAAGUUGCACAUAACAUUUUUUUUAAUAAUUAUUAUAUCACAUAUGUAUAAAAUACGUAUUGCAUGAUUAUUUAUGUGAAUAUUCAUAUCAUUCUUUAGUCUAAAUUCUAUUAAUUUUUGUAAAUAAUAAAGCCUUUUUACACAUCCCUCGUAUAGUUAAAUUGGUCCAGCCGGGAACCACAUUUGUGGAUUCUGAAGGAUGCCUAACACCUUCCCUUCGGAAUAAUUUGAACCCUUACCUAGAAUCUCACUUAUUUUCGUAGACCAUGUUAAGCUGCAUAUAUUAAUAAUUUAUAGGUACCCUAGUAUACCUUAAAUGCUAGGUGGCGACUCUGUACUUAAUUAAUUAUUUAGAGUCCCAUAAGUUGUGCUUUGUUUAGCCUUUGGUAAAAAUAGGGUGCAACAUUCACUAGUAGCAAAAAAAUUGUCUUUAUGUACUAAAAGUACUAUCGGAUAAUCAUCUUCCAUUUGUUUUUGGAGAUCUCACGAUAAGAUGCUAACAAACUCAGUUUCUCUUUUGCUCUGGUGUUUUGUGUCAAUUCACCCCCAGUUUUCUCCUUAUUCUUUUCUUUUUCCUCUCUUGAAUUGCCAUUUUUCCCUCCCUUACUCCUCUCAUUCUUUUCUCUCUCAUCCUCUCUUGUAAUCAUCUUUCUUAGUUCACUCAUCUUUUUGUAUCCUUCAUUUACUUGCAAUGCUGUUAAGGGACUAAGAAUGUAUUUUUCCCCUUCAUGACAAAGGAGUAUUCAUUGGACCUUCCAUCAUGCUUAGCUCCUCUAUCAAACUACCAAAGUCGACCAAGUAGUAGAUGACAAGCAUGUAUAGUGUUACGGUUCGUAUUUCGCGGGCAGGUUUAGCCCUCGGAAAGCUACUUCGAACUCGUUGGUGCUAUUUCGGACUUUGUUUUAAAAGAGUCGCCACCUAAUUUUUAGGAAAACCAGUUUUGAAGAGUUUAUUCAUACACCGUGAAAAAUCCUUCGUAAUCCAAAGUUCUAGGUAAGGGUUCUGGUGAUCCCCUAGGGAAGGUGUUAGACACCUUAGUAUUAAGGAUUCGUACUAUAGGGUUGACCUUCGAAUUCUAAUGUAUGAAUAUUUGUAUGAACUGUUUAUUUAGUGUUUUAUUCCCACUUUGUAAAGUCUGCCAUUUUGCAUAUCAUUUUUUAAAAAAUAAAUUGAUAUAUCCCCUUUACAUAUAGGUAUUUAGGUUUGGAUUUAUAAUAUCCGGAUACAACUAGUUCCUUUUAUAUAUAAGGAUAGUAGUGGUUUUGCAAAGAUAUAAAAAAAGGUUUAUUUAUUUAAAGUGUGGAAUGAAUGGGUUUUGUUCAUGCUUGACUCAUACAUGAUUCGGGUUAAUUCGUUUUCAGAAUGUCCUUAUCUAAAACUUUUAUGUUUACAAAUUGUUAUAUCCCGCAUUUUUCGCAUUCGGAUAAUUUAAGGUAAUUGCGGGAGAUUAAGAGCAAGAUUAUAAGUUUGAUCUUGUUUGGUGUACAAGUUGUUUAUAAAAAUUUUGAAGUGGAAAUAUGGAGAAUGGCGAAGGGCAAAUUUGGAAAUUGGAAAAAUGCUUCAUGAAUUACAUAAACUAGCUAAAAAUUCAAGUGGGCUUGAAUUAAAUUUUUUAAGACAAAAUCAUAGGCCCAACCGGCCAUACCCAUGGGCUAGGCCCAAAGUGGGUCAAAGUAUGUAGUUAAAUAAGAUGACCAAGUCAUCUUUAUCAUAACAAUUUCUAGAAAUUUCAAGAAAAGAAGAACAAAGAAAGAAGGAGAAAACCCUAAGGCAUUUCAGCCAUAGUAAAAUUUCCCAAGGAAAAUUGAUAAAAUUCUUCCAAAAAUCAUUUCCUACCAAGCUAAAGGUACUUAACAAGGUGGAGUUGUUGUUGGAGCAAGAACAACUCAUAAUCCUACAAGUUGCCAAAAGAUAGGCAAGUGAGAAGUUGAAGAAGAAAGGUGAGUAUUGAUCUUGUUUUAUGAGUUAUGCAUGGUUUAUAUGUGUAGUAGUAUGUUAAAAUUGAUGAAAAUCAUGAAGGAGAGGAAUAUGAAGCAUGGCCGUGUAUGUAUAUGUAUAUAUAUGUGUGUAGAAAAUGUGUUUUAAUUAUCUUGCCUAGUGUUGGUUGUUAUGGUUGUGAAUGAAAUGUGGAAAAUGGAAGUUGAAUGAAUUUUAGGAGAGAUUGUAGUAUGCAUGCAUGUGGCCGUGUGUUGUGUGUAGUGGUGUGGCCGUGUGGUUGUGGUAUAAUAUGGAGGAGAACGAGUCAAUUUUAUGUAGUGCUUUGAUUGUCGUUAUGUUGCGGAUUCUUUGUGUUAAUGAUUAUCUAUGAACCUUAGCAAAGUUGAAAUGGUGGAGACUUGCUUUAGAAGUUAAACGAAUGGAAUGUAAUGUUUCUUUGUAUGCAUGAAAGACUAUAUGAUUAGUGUGAUGUCGUUGGAACGUAUACAUGAGCUCGUUAUUGAUUUUAUUGAAGUUGGACGGUUUUUGAAAAAAAAAAGUAGUGAAUUGUUUGAAUAUGGAAGUUGCUAGUGUAGUCGUUGAAUUCAUAUCGAUAGUUUGGCCGGGUUUGAAUUCCCGGAUUGUGAUUGAUGCGAAUUUGAAUAUGUUGAAUGUCGAGGAUGGUGUAUUUACAGUGGAAAUGCUGCCGAAAUUUCAGUAGCCAAUUGUUUCCUUAAGGUGUUAACUCUAAGUAUGCUAAUGAGAGUUUUGGUGAAAAUGACCAAAUCGCAGAUUUUGACGAGAUUGUGACUCGAAUUUGGAGUAGCUAAAGGAGCGGAAAGAGGUAUGUAAGGCUUCACCCUUCUUUCUAUGGCAUGUCUUGACUAAAAGAAGUCGGGUACGAGUCUCGGGGACAACCCUAAUCCCCGGAAUCCGCACCUAAAGUUUUUAACUUUUCGUUCAAUUGAAUUGAAGUAAAAGGUGUGCAAAAUGAUGAAAAGACCUUCUAUACCCCUAUAACUUGCCUAAGUGGGGCCCGAUUACCCUAAGACUCAUACAAGUAACGCUAUGACACGUAAUAUGGGUAAAUUGUAUACGCUACCUCGUCCGGCCCGAGGUGGGCCCGUUACUCUCGGAUUUUCCUAUAAUCUUGGUUAACGUACUUGAAGUGAAUCAAAAGGGGGCCUUUGAUCUCGAUUUCGUCACCAAGUGAUAAGUACUAUGACUACUCCAGCGGGAGUGUUUCUAUGAUGAUAAUGAUAAUGACAAUGUCGGACAAGAGAAUGUUGCUAUGAUAAGUACGACCGGAACGACUCUACGGCUAAGCCGAGUACCUAAUAUAAACAUGAAAGCGAUAAACUAAUUUUUAAUCAUAUUUAUAUUUUCUAGCUAUAACUUUAUUUUCUAAGAUUCCAAAACCUAUGGCUGUCAUCUAAAAUGCUUAAGAUUUCGUUUUCGGUUACUGUAACACUAUUCUCCGUUGAUAGUCUCGCCUUAAAAUACUUGUUCCUUCAAGGUGAGACGAAGCUAUCACUAGCAUUCCGUAAUGUAAUCGGAGGUCUCCGACCUUAUGUCACUCCGAUGGAUACAUGAUUUUCCUUGGCUCUCUUGUGUGCUUAUAUGAUAUAGGUACAUAAAACGGGUAUACGUGUAUGGGUAUGUAUAUAUAUAUGGUAAAGUAAAUGUAUAUAAGACAUGUAUAUGCAUAAAAGAUGAGUAAAUGUAUAUGUAUGUGUAUGUGGGGAAAAAGGGAAGGGCCACUGUUAUAUCACCACCUGAUUCAGCUGGAUUCCAUCCUGGACGCGGGAUGCUCGGACGCGGGAUAUGGGAUGAGCCGUACGCGGCGUCUGUAUAUAUAUAUAUAUAUAUAUAUAUAUAUAUAUAUAUAUAUAAUGUGUGAUACAUAUGUGAUGUAAUAUGUUGGGUCAUCGUUGGGGAGGGGGUUGGGAGAGCCGAUUGUAUUCGGCGUCUGUAAAUGUAAAUGAAAGAUACCGUCUACUGAAUUGUACUGUUUUCUGUAUACAUGAAUAAGGGACACCGAGGGGGUUGGGAGAGCCGAUUGUAUUCGGCGUCUGUAAAUGUGAGCAAAAGAUACCGUUACUGAAAUGUACUGUUUUCUGUACACGAGAAUAAGUAAUAUAAAAAUGUUGACUCCUAUGCCCAUGAAAAGAAACGUUUCAAAGAUAAAAAGACAAGCCUACAUGACAGCCGGCCUAAAGAGGGGCCUUCCUAUGUACAGGUUAGGUUCUUGCCUCGUUAUACGCCCUAUGGCUCCGUGAUAUUAUUAUUGAUCGUACUUUAUGUUACUGCUUGCAUUGUUUUCCAUGCCUUACAUACUCGGUACAUUAUUCGUACUGACGUCCCUUCUUGUGGACGCUGCGUUUCAUGCCGCGCAGGUCAGCAGGUAUACGGACCAGAUUCCUAGCGCCCUAUCAGCAGCAUUCGACAGCGCUCCAGUUGUUCCGGAGCCUUAUUUCAUCGGUACUAUUUUGUGUAUGUAUUUUCGGGCGCGAUAGUACUCGGCCCUUUCUCUGUAUAAAUGUACUAUGCCUAGAGGCUCGUAGACAGAUAUACACAGUCAGCUAUGUACAGUUUAAUGUAUUUUAUUCCGAAUGGUUCGCGUUCUGGUGUAACGCGAUAUUAGAAAGUUUACUGCAAA